CACUUAUUAAAUGUCACCAUCAAGCCUGUGCAACCAAUAUGCAAAGUAAAAGUACUCAGAAAUGUUUAAUCUAAAAAAUGUAAUCAUGAGAAACAAAUGAUAUUUUAUUAACAAAACAACGUGUUUCCGUUCACUGACUUGCAUUAAAUUAUGCAAAAUAUGUUACUUGCACACAGUCAAGCUGUUGACUUAAAGGGAGUGUAUUGGAUGUUAGCCCAGACGAAAUGUUCAGAGUAAGCCACAUGACAGAAGAGAGCUGGAACACUUUACUGUCUCUGUAUUCUCAUCUUUUGGAAUAGAAUGGAGGAUUGCCAUGUGAUUUCUGUUACAAAAAGUGAUAAAGUAAAUAUUGUCAGAUGCCACAUUAUACACCUUGUGUUUUAACCUUGCUCCAUGGAUGUGCUAACUAUUUAUAUCAUGGAGGACUCGUCUGACAGUGCAGUGUUUCGGGUCCAGGUUCAGUGUGCUGAUCCUUUCCUGCUAAACUACUGGUUCCAGAAGACCUUCUUCAACAAUGGGGAAGUCCAACAGAUCAACACCAUGAGGAUAAACGGCUGUCGUGGGCUAGUGUUUGUUUUGAGGGUGCUGCAUCGUUCUUCACGCCUCCCUAAUUCCCAUUAUUGGUGCCCUUUCCUAGUGACACUCUGCCUCGAUGCCCUGGCAUUUCACUACCACCUCCCCUCUGUGCCCCAGUGGAACGGCACCCUUCGAGAGGCGAUGAGAGGAAACAGCCUGGAGCUCAG
Onychostoma macrolepis is the source of this 743-nucleotide long non-coding RNA. RefSeq lists it as uncharacterized. The record is from RefSeq and is a predicted model, not a curated record. NCBI's taxonomy places the organism in Eukaryota, Metazoa, Chordata, Actinopteri, Cypriniformes, Cyprinidae. The transcript is spliced from 3 exons.